Molecule: long non-coding RNA, 1326 nt
Organism: Lytechinus variegatus (green sea urchin)
Lineage: Eukaryota; Metazoa; Echinodermata; Echinoidea; Temnopleuroida; Toxopneustidae
Exons: 2
Source: RefSeq, a predicted model, not a curated record
AGGAACACUAUUAAUAAAAAAAUUUGUGAAAUAAGAAAUUCAUGUUAAAUCUUAAACUCAAAUUGUUAGGUGCGUAGACUUGGAUCCCACCAUCAUAUACUUUUUAUUUCUGCACAUGUAAAAAGGGUAUAUAUUUAACUCUAACAUGCAAAUAGAAUAUUUUGGUGGGGGGGAAAAUGAAGCAUGGUGCUCCCCCCCCCCAUGUCCUGGUGUUACAGGUGGUUUAAAAACCUGUGUUCUUGUAACUGUACAGCGAUAUAAUACAGUGGUACACCUAGGCCCUUAUUCUGAAGUCAGUGUUUCAUAGAAAUGGUCGUUAAUGUUAAACAUAAAAAUUACCCAGAAUCACAUACAAAACAAAGAAGCACAAGAAGUAUUGUUUUGCUAUUUUUAUUGUAUUUUCAGUCAUAUUUCAUACAAAUUUUCCCUGGUUGUAUGAUCCAUACACCGUCUGUUCAAACAUUUUGAACAUCGAAACAAAAUAAAUCUGAUAAAAUAAUAUUGAUUUCAAAAUCCAAAAAGGCUUGGUUAUGAUAUCUUGAAAUAAGAUUAUACUGGAUAAAAGUGAGUCUUAAUUAUCAUGGUAUACUCAUUUCCAUUAUAUCAAUUGUUCCCGACAUGGAUGUUGUACAUUUCCUGAUACUAGGAAUAGCAUUAUACCACCAUACAUAUAUUGUGCAUAUCUUCAAAUUACUUAUACAUAUGAGCUUAUGAAGCACAUAUCAUAAGUGUUCAGCUAAUCAUUACAGUUAGUUAAAAGACGAAAAAUGGAAUGCUGUCGCAAUGCAAGAAAGACAAAAAUGGCUUCAAAUCAAUAACUAAACUUUAAAUUUCUUUUGAUAAAAUUUUGACUUUCUUGAAUCGUGGAAUGAUACUCAAAUAUUUUUGGAAUAAAUUUCCAUUUCACUUAGCACAAUAGGAUAAUCUAUGAUUACAUAACUAAUGUGCAUCAAUUUGAAUAGUAUUGAUUACAAAUGGGCCAAAAGUAAUUCAUUGGUAUAACUUAGUGCAGGUAAUGAAGUUAAUUUGUCAAUUCCAUUACUAGUAUUAAAGAUAAUUAGGACUGAUGAAAAUUAUCAUCAAUUUGAAUACCUACACAUAUGCGUUAUUUUAAACAUAUGUAACAGCUAUGUGAGAGAUACUGAAUUAGCUCUGUUUACUACUGAUACAUGAUACUUUUGGAAUGCACUGGAAAAGUAUGACACUGUACUUCAAUUGCUGAUUGAAGCAUAUAUGUGCCAGCCCUGAUAAUUACAGUCUUAUACAAACCCAGCAAUUGGGGGGGGGCAUAUUAAACACGAUUUAUAUAUCAUUUAAUUAAACCUC